CUGAAAGAGGUUUACAACCCGGAAGGCAGUCAUCCCUCACGCGGCGUCGCUGCGUCAGGCUUUCGCCCAUUGCGCAAUAUUCCCCACUGCUGCCUCCCGUAGGAGUCUGGGCCGUGUCUCAGUCCCAGUGUGGCCGGUCGCCCUCUCAGGCCGGCUACCCGUCGUCGCCUUGGUAGGCCAUCACCCCACCAACAAGCUGAUAGGCCGCGGGCCCAUCCCACACCGCCGGAACUUUCCACACACCACCAUGCGAUGGCAUGUCAUAUCCGGUAUUAGCCCCGGUUUCCCGAGGUUAUCCCAAAGUGCAGGGCAGGUUACCCACGUGUUACUCACCCGUUCGCCGCUCGUGUACCCCGAAGGGCCUUACCGCUCGACUUGCAUGUGUUAAGCACGCCGCCAGCGUUCGUCCUGAGCCAGGAUCAAACU
This 426-nucleotide ribosomal RNA is filed under the name Actinoalloteichus hymeniacidonis. RNAcentral's name for it is "partial 16S ribosomal RNA". The record is from RNAcentral. Lineage: Bacteria; Bacillati; Actinomycetota; Actinomycetes; Pseudonocardiales; Pseudonocardiaceae.